Molecule: long non-coding RNA, 935 nt
Organism: Carlito syrichta (Philippine tarsier)
Lineage: Eukaryota; Metazoa; Chordata; Mammalia; Primates; Tarsiidae
Exons: 3
Source: RefSeq, a predicted model, not a curated record
UCCUUCUAGGGAAGGGCUGGGGAGGAGGGGGUGGUGACACGGUAGAGGCACCGGCAGGGCCCGGGGGCCUGCCCUUGGGACAGGUCCAGACCCAUGGAGCCCCCUGAAAAGAGCAGCAGGUCCACAGCGUCUCAUACUCUACACCAGUAUUGCUGUCCUACUCAGGUCCUUGACUCCAUGAAGCUUACCCCCUCAGGCAGGCUGGCAGAGAGCAGGGAAGAGGAGGAGGAGGAGGAGACUGAGGAAGAGGAAGAGGAAGACGCUCACCAGUUCUGCUGUCCGGCCUCCGAGUGCAGCAGUCCCUCCUCUCGGUAACUGAGAGGACAAGGGCCAUUUUCUAUGCAGAAGCAAAAGCCUUAACCAGCCCAUCCCCCCAGCCCUCGCGGAUCCCUGUCCCCUGCUUCAGGAACCAGACGGGCAAGCAUCGCGCCCCUUCCUCCCCCACCUCCUUCUCGGAAUUUCUACCCCCUGCUGCUGUCUCCCCUGGACUCCAGCUCCUGAUUUAAAAACAGCUGGAGCCCUAAAUCUGAAUAAAAUGUGGGAGAAGCAGAGCUUGGAGCUUGGAGCUUGGAACCUGGACCCUCCCGCACCCGCACUCCCACUUCCCAGGCACCCUGGAGCCUGCCAUUCCUGGAGAGGUCUCCAAAUGACACCCCAAGGACCUACCUCUGUCCUCUGUGAGCACAAACAGAGAUGCAGGGUGCCUAGGGCUCAGAGGACCAGACGGGGACAGGACCCAGCCUGCCUAGUUCCCCGUCGUUCGUUCCCUUGCUGUGGCCAUAGCUGCCAUCUCCUCCACUGCUUGAAGGCCUCAACCCACACCCCCUACCACUCCCAUAGUGCUCUGUAAAUAUGAACAGGAGGAAAAAGCCUCUCAGAGUACAUGUUGCUGUGAACAAAGGAAUUUCCAUCAAUAAAAGCUGAUCUCUUCUCUC